RNAcentral lists this ribosomal RNA (344 nucleotides) under Scomber scombrus (Atlantic mackerel). Its description in RNAcentral is "partial 12S ribosomal RNA". It matches the Rfam family "Bacterial small subunit ribosomal RNA", at positions 794 to 1384 of the family's 1533-position model. The record is from RNAcentral. Lineage: Eukaryota; Metazoa; Chordata; Actinopteri; Scombriformes; Scombridae.
GCCUAGCCGUAAACAUUGAUAGAUCUAUCCGCCUGGAUAUUACGAGCAUUAGCUUGAAACCCAAAGGACUUGGCGGUACUUUAGAUCCCCCUAGAGGAGCCUGCUCUAUAACCGAUAACCCCCGUUAAACCUCACCCUCCCUUGUCCGCCUAUAUACCACCGUCGUCAGCUCACCCUGUGAAGGUCUAAUAGUAAGCAAAAUUGGCACAGCCCAGAACGUCAGGUCGAGGUGUAGCGCAUGGGAGGGGAAGAAGUGGGCUACAUUCGCUCGGGAAUUGAAAGAAGGAGGAUUUAGCAGUAAGUGGAAAAUAGAGUGUUCCACUGAAAUCGGCUCUGAAGUGCGU